ACUACAGGUUGUCUGUAUUGACGAUUGAGAGAGAGAUGGGGACUACUGAUUAGUGAUCAGAAUCCUAAUUUACUGUGAGCUACAUAUGCUUAUAUACCAUUCU
Non-coding RNA from Sturnus vulgaris (Common starling), 103 nucleotides. Lineage: Eukaryota; Metazoa; Chordata; Aves; Passeriformes; Sturnidae. The record is from RefSeq and is a predicted model, not a curated record.